CGGCGNCNNANAGGAGCCAUGGCAUGUCUAGUACAUGCCGUAUUAAGGCGAAACCGCGAAUGGCUCAUUAAAUCAGUUAUGGUUCCUUGGAUCGUACCUUACUACUUGGAUAACUGUGGCAAUUCUAGAGCUAAUACAUGCAGCAGAGCUCCGACCUUCGGGGACGAGCGCUUUUAUUAGACCAAAACCAAUCGGGCCUCGUGUCCGUUCUAUGUGGUGACUCUGUAUAACUUUGGGCUGAUCGCACGGGCUUGUCCCGGCGACGUAUCUUUCAAGUGUCUGCCUUAUCAACUGUCGAUGGUAGGUUACGCGCCUACCAUGGUCGUAACGGGUAACGGGGAAUCAGGGUUCGAUUCCGGAGAGGGAGCCUGAGAAACGGCUACCACAUCCAAGGAAGGCAGCAGGCGCGCAAAUUACCCACUCCCGGCUCGGGGAGGUAGUGACGAAAAAUAACAAUACGGGACUCUUUUGAGACCCCGUAAUUGGAAUGAGUACACUCUAAAUCCUUUAACGAGGAUCCAUUGGAGGGAAAGUCUGGUGCCAGCCGCCGCGGUAACUCCAGCUCCAAUAGCGUAUAUUAAAGUUGUUGCGGUUAAAAAGCUCGUAGUUGGAUCUCAGUUCCAGACGGGUGGUCCGCCUUUCGGUGGUUACUGCCUGUUCUGAGCAUUGCCGCCGAAAUUGUUUGAUGAUCUUCACCGGUUGUUAUCCGGUUUCGGCAAUUUUACUUUGAAAAAAUUAGAGUGCUCAAAGCAUGCGUGACGCAUGAAUAAUGGUGCAUGGAAUAAUGGAAUAGGACCUCGGUUCUAUUUUGUUGGUUUUCGGAACACGAGGUAAUGAUUAAGAGGGACAGACGGGGGCAUUCGUAUUGCGACGCUAGAGGUGAAAUUCUUGGACCGUCGCAAGACGAACUACUGCNAGANUUUUUUUUU
RNAcentral lists this ribosomal RNA (929 nucleotides) under Takayus latifolius. RNAcentral describes it as "SSU rRNA". It matches the Rfam family "Eukaryotic small subunit ribosomal RNA", at positions 33 to 960 of the family's 1831-position model. Lineage: Eukaryota; Metazoa; Arthropoda; Arachnida; Araneae; Theridiidae. The record is from RNAcentral.